UUCAUUGUCAUUGUAGAUAUGUCCAACAGGUUCCAAGGUCAAUCCCUCACUUCAUGUGCAAAACAUGUUAAUGGUAAUGUUGCAGAACAAAGUGUGGGUGGAAAUGAAACAGGAAACACACAAGGACCAGUGUUACAUGAAACAAGAGCUAAAACAGCAACACCUCCAGUGAAACCAGCUUCUCCUAAGACUGGUUGAAUUAUUAAUUACU
Solanum verrucosum is the source of this 211-nucleotide long non-coding RNA. RefSeq lists it as uncharacterized. The transcript has 4 exons. The record is from RefSeq and is a predicted model, not a curated record. NCBI's taxonomy places the organism in Eukaryota, Viridiplantae, Streptophyta, Magnoliopsida, Solanales, Solanaceae.